CUUGUCUUUUGCGUACCGUAUGUUUCCUCGGCGGGCUUGCCUGCCGGUUGGACAUUAUCAAACCUUUUUGUAGUUGCAAUCAGCGUCAGAAAACAAACAAUAAUUACAACUUUCAACAACGGAUCUCUUGGUUCUGGCAUCGAUGAAGAACGCAGCGAAAUGCGAAAAGUAGUGUGAAUUGCAGAAUUCAGUGAAUCAUCGAAUCUUUGAACGCACAUUGCGCCCCUUGGUAUUCCAUGGGGCAUGCCUGUUCGAGCGUCAUUUUGUACCCUCAAGCACUGCUUGGUGUUGGGCGUUUGUCCUGCAAAGGACUCGCCUGAAAGCGAUUGGCGGCCAACGUACUGGUGGUAGAGCGCAGCACAAUUUGCGUCUCUCCCUUCUACGUCGGCGUCCAUGAAGCCUUUUUUCAACGUUUGACCUCGGAUCAGGUAGGGAUACCCGCUGAACUUAAGCAUAUCAAUAAGCGGAGGAAAGG
RNAcentral lists this ribosomal RNA (475 nucleotides) under fungal sp. K225. Its description in RNAcentral is "eukaryotic LSU rRNA". The stretch from base 108 to 261 matches the Rfam family "5.8S ribosomal RNA". Lineage: Eukaryota; Fungi. The record is from RNAcentral.